Molecule: ribosomal RNA, 510 nt
Filed under: uncultured bacterium
Lineage: Bacteria
Description: partial 16S ribosomal RNA
Rfam family: Bacterial small subunit ribosomal RNA
Source: RNAcentral
GACGAACGCUGGCGGCGUGCUUAACACAUGCAAGUCGAACGAAGAGCGAUGGAAGCUUGCUUCUAUCAAUCUUAGUGGCGAACGGGUGAGUAACGCGUAAUCAACCUGCCCUUCAGAGGGGGACAACAGUUGGAAACGACUGCUAAUGCCGCAUACGAUCUGACCUCGGCAUCGAGGAUAGAUGAAAGGUGGCCUCUAUUUAUAAGCUAUCACUGAAGGAGGGGAUUGCGUCUGAUUAGCUAGUUGGAGGGGUAACGGCCCACCAAGGCGAUGAUCAGUAGCCGGUCUGAGAGGAUGAACGGCCACAUUGGGACUGAGACACGGCCCAGACUCCUACGGGAGGCAGCAGUGGGGAAUCUUCCGCAAUGGACGAAAGUCUGACGGAGCAACGCCGCGUGAGUGAUGACGGCCUUCGGGUUGUAAAGCUCUGCUAAUCGGGACGAAAGGCCUUCUUGCGAAUAGUUAGAAGGAUUGACGGUACCGGAAUAGAAAGCCACGGCUAACUACGUG